Unclassified non-coding RNA from Aotus nancymaae (Ma's night monkey), 102 nucleotides. It matches the Rfam family "Y RNA". Rfam says of the family: Y RNAs are components of the Ro ribonucleoprotein particle (Ro RNP), in association with Ro60 and La proteins. The Y RNAs and Ro60 and La proteins are well conserved, but the function of the Ro RNP is not known. The record is from Ensembl. Lineage: Eukaryota; Metazoa; Chordata; Mammalia; Primates; Aotidae.
GACUGGUCAUAGUGCAGCAGUUUUUACAAUGAAUUGAUCACAAACAGUUACAAAUUUAUUUGUUCUUUCCCCAGUACCACUGUUCCACUUGACUAGCCAAUA